Long non-coding RNA from Hyaena hyaena (striped hyena), 371 nucleotides. RefSeq lists it as uncharacterized. Lineage: Eukaryota; Metazoa; Chordata; Mammalia; Carnivora; Hyaenidae. The record is from RefSeq and is a predicted model, not a curated record. The transcript has 2 exons.
CGCUCCCCGCUGUACGUCCACUCUUAACUGCUCCUCCCCUUCCUUUCAGCCAGGUGGGUUUCUCUUCCAGCUCCAGGAGCAACAGCGCACCCCCCCACGGCUCAUGGUGAACCCCCAGCUGGUUGGCCAUCUGGGGACACUUCUGAGGCCAGCACUGCCCCUGCUGCAGAAAAGGACGUCGUUGGCUUUGCAAGAGCACAUGGCUCACCGUCCAACAACCCAGAUCUCGCCCACAACUUCAUCCAGAUGAGGCUGUGGAUGUUAGGUGAAGGUCACCCAGGUGUUUCUAGAGGCCCGGGCAGGGAGGGCACGUGGAGAUAAAGUACAGAGCUCCCCCUUGCAAAUUAAAAUUUUUUAAUUUAAAGGGAAAA